GAUUCCGUGGUGCAACGGUAGCACGCAAGCCUAACACGCUUGAGGUCGCGAGAUCAACACUCGCCGGAAUCA
Acanthamoeba castellanii str. Neff is the source of this 72-nucleotide transfer RNA. It matches the Rfam family "tRNA". Rfam says of the family: Transfer RNA (tRNA) molecules are approximately 80 nucleotides in length. NCBI's taxonomy places the organism in Eukaryota, Discosea, Longamoebia, Acanthamoebidae. The record is from Rfam.